Esox lucius (northern pike) is the source of this 186-nucleotide long non-coding RNA. RefSeq lists it as uncharacterized. The record is from RefSeq and is a predicted model, not a curated record. The transcript is spliced from 3 exons. Lineage: Eukaryota; Metazoa; Chordata; Actinopteri; Esociformes; Esocidae.
GUAUAGUAGAUAUUGAAGAAGAGGAGGUGUAUUAGUUACUGGAAGUAGAGAGGGGUAAUAAUUACUAUAACAAGAGAGGAGGUGUAGUAGUUACUGGAAGUACAGGGGGUAAUAAUUACUAUAACGAGAGAGGAGGUGUAGUAGUUCCUUCAAACAGGUGUAUCCAGGCCCUGGACAAUCAGUGAA